RNAcentral lists this ribosomal RNA (507 nucleotides) under Triticum aestivum (bread wheat). Its description in RNAcentral is "partial small subunit ribosomal RNA". Lineage: Eukaryota; Viridiplantae; Streptophyta; Magnoliopsida; Poales; Poaceae. The record is from RNAcentral.
AUGGUGACGGCGGCGUCGCUUCCAUACAAAGCCGAUGGUAGCAAAAAAAAGGAUUGCUGGUUCCAGCAAAAAUCGAAGCCGGUGGAAGAAAAAUUGGGGCUGGUUCCAGCAAAAAUCGAAGCCGGUGAAAGCAGGCUGGUUCCAGCAAAAAUCGAAGCCGGUGAAAGCAGGCUGGUUCCAGCAAAAAUCGAAGCCGGUGAAAGCAGGCUAGUUCUAGCAAAAAUCGAAGCCGGUGGAAGCAAAAUUGGGGCUGGUUCCAGCAAAAACAAAAGACAGUGGAAGCAAAACUGGGGCUGGUUCCAGCAAAAACAAAAGACAGUGGUAGCAAAAAGAUUGUUGGUUUCAUCAAAAAUUGAAAGCGGUGGUAGCAAAAAUUGGGCUGGUCAGCAAAAUCAAGAUAGUAGAGUUGCAUCCCUUUUGUGUCGGAGCUGCAACCGGCAAGUGGCAGAGCUGCAACCGGCUAUAGGAGAGUUGCAAUCGGCGAGCGGCGGAGCUGGAACGGGCUAG